AUAAUCCAAUCACUUCUCUCCCCAACACGUGGGGAUUACAAUUCAAGAUGAGGUUUGGGUAGGAACACAAAACCUGACUAUAUCACACAGCAUGUCCAGGUUGCCCCAGCACCACCCAGUAGAAGAGAAAAGGACAGAGGGAAAGUCCAAGCGGAAAGAAACCUCAGUCUCAGCUAAUUGUGGUGACAAGAUAUUGCUUUUGCAAAUUGUACAUAAACGCAUGACCAGGUGAAUGUAUCGCCAAGGCUCCUGCCAAGGCCUGGAAUGGAGGCCUAGAGAAGAUGCCCGAAAGUUUAUGCUGUGAGCUUCACAGAAGACCUACCUUCCAUGUAUACCCAUUUUACAGGUGUCUGUACAGUGCACAAACUGUACAACUGUACACAGUGACCAUUUCUACUUUGGGUCUCUAAACAAGGGCUGGUAUCAUUAUAGUGCCUGAAGACUGAGGAGGACCGUUCCUGUAGGAUGCCAAGGAUUGACUAGAGAAAGUCUGGAAUUUUCCACAAAUGAGUUCAUUUAUAAAGAGAAAGGCAAGCUUUGAUGACAACACCUUCACAAAACGGGGUCCUCUGAAAACAUUGGUCUGGAUUGAGGAGGUGGAGCAGCAUGAAGUACACAUCACUCCAACAGAAGAGAAGCAAUUUGGAGGAGAAGAAAAAUCAGUCCUUCAUGAAAGGAUCACACUGAUCUUGGCUCAUCCCAGUGCCUCCUCUGCAGACAAUCUUGUCCUCAGUCUUUCAAUUGUUUUCUUCCCAUGCCCUGACAAACGAACCAGAUCAGGAAUUUAGGAGGAGCUUACCUAAUGGCACCUGAUUACCUAAUGGCAUCCUCACCAGCUUACCUAAUGGCACCCUCACCUGGUUCUGGCUCCGGGCCUCUCACAAGAUUGUACACAUGAUGAUGGCCAAGCUUGCGGUCAUCUAAAGGCUUGACUGGAGCUGGAGGCUACACUUCCAAGAUGGCUCACUCAUAUUGCUAAAGCAAUUACAGCUCACUGCAGUCUUGACCUCCCAGGCUCAAGCAAGCCUCCUGCCUCAGCCUCCCAAGUAGUUGGGACUACAGAUCUCUUUCAAUGCAGAAGUUUAAAGAAGACACUUAAAAAUGUGUUUAAGAUCUCUUUAAACUGAAGUCUUCUGAACAAGUGAAACAGGUACAUGCCUGGGAAGACAGCCAGGGAACAGGCAGCUACAUCAACCAAGAAGGCUGACAACAUGUUCCAUCCCACAACUAUGUGGUAAUUGCAAAGAUGAGAAAACAGCAGAGAUCCUCCAACCAGCCCUGGAAUGAGUUUAAGGGAGAGAAAUCAUGCAAUCUCCUAGUAACAUGGCAUCUGUAAAUUCA
Molecule: long non-coding RNA, 1341 nt
Organism: Rhinopithecus roxellana (golden snub-nosed monkey)
Lineage: Eukaryota; Metazoa; Chordata; Mammalia; Primates; Cercopithecidae
Exons: 9
Source: RefSeq, a predicted model, not a curated record